CUGGAUCCAGGUUAGUCAUCCACUGUGACUUCAGAGUUCCAGGAGGAAAGAGCCUGAGAAACUUGGAAGUUCUUUCCUGCAGAUGGAGACUACUAAAGAAAUCCACAGAGGGUCAAAUGCAGAGAACAGCGGACCACCGGGUGCAUAAUAUCAACUGAAGCAUCUACAACACAACCCUUAGAAUGGACGCUCAGGGAAAUGGAGCUAGUGUAAGAGCCAAAGGACUAGGACCCCUGAUGGCGUGGAAGCUACAACCAUGGAAUCAAGACAACACGGCUGCCUAAACAAGGCUAACAGAGUGACAACACCAGUUGACAUGACAGCAUGAGUGGGGAGAACCAUCACAAGGCCCCACCCCUAGAAGAAGAGCUACGGGCAUUCGGUAGCUGAGACAGGAUCUUUACAACAGCUCCCGUUUCUUUCCUGUGUCCCAUGGCCCAUCACUCAAAUGGCCUUACCAACCAGCGUCAGCCUUGGUACACAUGGGAGCUGUGACCUCGUGGAAGAUAACCUUUGACAGGCUCUCACCAGUUCUCCAGCAUCCAGUUUCACACGGAGGCUGCAGGAAGCUGCUGCCCGCAGACUGAGCCUUGAUAACACAAGGAGAACCACCUGGUAACAGCGGCCGCACUUCAUCCAGGAUGAAAACAGGAUCUAAAAUAUAAACAACAUCCUCCCUCCAGAAGCCGGUGCUCAGUUCACUCCCAAGUGUGUUUGACUCUGUUUUCCCAAGAGUCUCAUGAGAACCUUUACUGAGGCAGGAAGGUAGGUCAAGACAAGAAGCAGAGUUUCAAGAUUUCCGGUGAAAAUCAUCAAAACAUUUUCUUUUUUUUUAAAUUGUUGUUGUUGUUGGUGAUCUUUUUAAGUUCAGGAGUAUGACCAAUAAUCGUAGUUACAGCACUGAACUUGUUUUUAGAUGAAUAAAAAUUUAGAUACCUCAAGUCUGACACCAUGCCAAAGGAAAUUAUGCAAAUGGAUCAAAGUAAAAAAGGAGAAAGGUUUCUGCUGAUGUCGUCUUUCCCAGAGCAUUCCUUCGGAAAUGGAUACUGCUUUGUAACAGCAAAACACGAUGUUUAUUGUGUUCAUUGUUGCUGGCAACGUAGCCAGCGUGUUUCUGCUCAUCCCAUAAAGUGGAUCCUUACAUAGAGAGAGGUGAGGGCUCUCUCAGCAUCUCCAGUCAGUAUGUAAUGUUCCCAGGACUAGACUCCAACCAGAGUUUCUGAGAGCUGCAGCAGCGCUUUCUCAGACACUCAGCCUAUCCCCACUGUUUUUACUGUAAAAAAUACAUUUAUUAUUUAUUUGUGCAAA
Molecule: long non-coding RNA, 1308 nt
Organism: Mesocricetus auratus (golden hamster)
Lineage: Eukaryota; Metazoa; Chordata; Mammalia; Rodentia; Cricetidae
Exons: 3
Source: RefSeq, a predicted model, not a curated record